CCACCCGUGUUGCCCGAACCUAUGUUGCCUCGGCGGGCCCCGCGCCCGCCGACGGCCCCCCUGAACGCUGUCUGAAGUUGCAGUCUGAGACCUAUAACGAAAUUAGUUAAAACUUUCAACAACGGAUCUCUUGGUUCCGGCAUCGAUGAAGAACGCAGCGAAAUGCGAUAACUAAUGUGAAUUGCAGAAUUCAGUGAAUCAUCGAGUCUUUGAACGCACAUUGCGCCCUCUGGUAUUCCGGAGGGCAUGCCUGUCCGAGCGUCAUUGCUGCCCUCAAGCCCGGCUUGUGUGUUGGGCCCCGUCCCCCCCGCCGGGGGGACGGGCCCGAAAGGCAGCGGCGGCACCGCGUCCGGUCCUCGAGCGUAUGGGGCUUCGUCACCCGCUCUAGUAGGCCCGGCCGGCGCCAGCCGACCCCCAACCUUUAAUUAUCUCAGGUUGACCUCGGAUCAGGUAGGGAUACCCGCUGAACUUAAGCAUAUCAA
This 482-nucleotide ribosomal RNA is filed under the name Penicillium citrinum. RNAcentral's name for it is "partial 18S ribosomal RNA". The stretch from base 111 to 264 matches the Rfam family "5.8S ribosomal RNA". Lineage: Eukaryota; Fungi; Ascomycota; Eurotiomycetes; Eurotiales; Aspergillaceae. The record is from RNAcentral.